Molecule: small nucleolar RNA, 132 nt
Organism: Echinops telfairi (small Madagascar hedgehog)
Lineage: Eukaryota; Metazoa; Chordata; Mammalia; Afrosoricida; Tenrecidae
Product: small nucleolar RNA SNORA64/SNORA10 family
Exons: 1
Source: RefSeq, a predicted model, not a curated record
GCUCUCCCUGCUCUGCGUGGUUACACCUGCCACAACAUGUAUGACUUUCAAAAAGAGGGGAGAGAGAAAGGAUGCCCUGAGGACCUCGGACAGGCCUCCUGUGGCCUGUCCCUUCUGGGGAACAUAACAGGC